CUCCGCAGGAAAUUUUACUACCAUGACUCUUUCAUCUCUCUCCUGGUUUGAAGAUAAAUGAUCCUUGGACUCUUCUGGACCUGCAUAAAUCACAAAAGCAAUCUACUAAGAGAGCUGCCUGUGGCACCGACUUCGGCUGGAAUUGAAAAGGACAGUCAAAAAUAUCCACGGUUGCUUACAAAAGGGUUAACCCAAACCAUCCUCUGGGCAAGAGGGGAGGAGGCCGGUGGUGGGACUGCAGCUCCAUGGGGUGGGAAGGACCCCAGGAGAGAGGGCACCGAUCACAGCACCUCCUGUGUCUGGGCACAGGGCUCCAUCCCUAAGACAGAUGGGUCUGGGCGCAUCUUCCCGGGGUACUGAAUUUGCCCCUGGGUGUCAGAUGGGUGUGACACCAUCCCUGCCCUAACCGUGGGGCUUGCCCGUUAACCCAUCUCUGGACAACGGGCUGAGGUCAGUGAGGUGUCACCUUUGAAGUCUGGGCUUUGGGAGGGGCAGCUCGCCAUGUAUAUAAUUGAUCUGAGCCUUUGAUGAGGUUUUAUCUGCAGGAUGGAGAAGCCUCAAUGCUCUGUCAGUCUCAGCACUGUAUUUCUAUUCUCAGAAAUGUCCUGUGAGGGUCCAACCUGAUGGUGAUGACACCCAAAGCACCAGCGACAAGGCACAAGGUGAAACCCCCCCCAUGCUCUGCUCUCACUUGAGAGAUGACUACAUGGUGGCACCGGCAGCCAGCUCCUGCACCGCCAGAGCAAACGUGCCUGGAUUCAGGACUUUGUGGGAGACACAAAAUGGAGGCAGCCUGAAGCACAGCCCGGUGAGUGGGGAGACGAUGGUCAGGACAGGAGAGGAAGAAGCCUGGAAAGUGACAGACAGACGGACAGGCUUGACGUGAGGAGGAGAUGACAGCCGGGAGUUGCAGGUGUGGAAGAGAAAAGGCAAGGAAGGCAGCAUGCUUUGCUCCAUCAGAGACUGACUUCUGCACAGUCUUUGUGUCCCCGUUGAUGCUGGGUCACUGGGAUCGUGGCGGAAAUUUUCUCUUUUCAUCAGGUCAUGGCUUGAGAAAUGUUAACUCUUCAAGUGAAGCUCGGAGCCAAAACCAAUUCUUCUUAGAGGAAAUACCAACAUUUCUGCUAGUGCCUCAUAGCUGAAAAACAGAAAUGAACACACGGCUGCUGGCUGCGUUUAGACUGGAAGUCCUCUGGAAAAAGCACUGCGGCAUCCCUCGGCCAUUGGUGGCAGCGCUACGGAGCGGACUGCUCGGCUUUACUUUGAUUGGAAUGGAAGGCAGACUUGCUACUUGAGGACACUCUGUAAUGGUGUGGUGUAAAACCAUGGUUACAGAAAACAAAGUAUGGGAAGAUGUUUGAAGUGACAACAGUGACAGCAAACCCCCCACCAGCUGGUGACAUGGCACAAACAUAGCACACCCAUGGCACAGACGGAGCAGCCCAGGUGCCCGGGCUCGCCUGCAAUGCCCUUGGUGAUGGAUGCCCAGGCACAAGGGAUUUCACCAGGCACACAGCUGCUAGGUCACUCCACAAGGGCGAAGAAGGUCACACCACCCUUGCGGAAAGCCGCAAAGCUCAGCAGCUCUUCUAGGAUCAGCCCUGUGCCCUGCUCCUGGGCCUCACAUCAUGGCCCUGGACGUCUUCUGCUGGCCCCCAGCCACUGCUGAAGCCAUCAGGACCCAUAGAGCAGGAAGAGCUGCUCUCUGAUGCAACUUCUCCAGCAGGCGCAGCCCCAGAGGAGGAGGAGGACCCGCGUGCUGCCCGUGGCGCAGGUCACCAGAGGGCAUCACUGAGACUCCAGAGCCCGAACCCGCCUUAAGUUAGACCAGAAAUGCUACGAUCAGGGGCAUCCCUGGGCUCCCCGAUUCCCUGCGUUUCGCUGCAAAAACCCGGGGGUUGUGCAGGCAUCGGGGAGCAGAGCUGCGGUGCUGCGCCCCCAAACUUCCCUGCAUCCCCACCGGGCCCUCAUCCUUCUGCAGGGCCAGCAGCCCAGGGGCAACUAAAUUUUUUUUUUUCUUUUAAAUGAAUGAACAACAUAAACGCAUAAAUAAACACGGAUCCUCACCAUUGCAAAUUAAGGCCAUAUUGCAGGGGAAAUUGAAUCCAAAGAAUGCAAGCAGCCAAACAAACAAACAAGCGAGCAGCAAAAGAAAACCAAUUAUUUUGGAGGGAGUCGCAAAUGAGCAAACAAAACCACGAAUGGCCCCAGCCUCCAGCACCCCUGCAAGGGCUCCGUCACAGCCCGCUGGGAGCGAGGCCCGGGCGAGACUCCUGCCUCUCCGUGAUGCCUCCGCUCCCUGUGCCUUAUUUAUAUCCGAUUAAAAUGAUUAAAUCGCGACACGUGAGUUUGUGUGAGGAGCCUGGCACCAUUUUUAUUUAUUUAUUUAUUUAUUUAUUUUGGUUAAGCCAAAAUUUUCAGAAACGUUAGCCAAUAAUGCCCUAAACGCAGGCUGCCAGCUCCUUUUGGCACUUCGUAGCCCAAAAAAAAGGGCUGCAGGGCCCAAGCCCGCCCAGCCGCCUGAACACGCGCGAACCGCCCGCUGAUAGAUUUACUGCUUGUCCCAUCCUUUGGCAGAUUUUGUUGAUUUUAGCCAAAAAAUAUUCAAGAUUUCUGGCCGAGUGUUAUUCCCUGUCAGGGCGAGCGGCGGGAUCUGGCCCCACUUGUUGUCCCCUCCC
This is a long non-coding RNA of Cygnus atratus (black swan), 2678 nucleotides long. RefSeq lists it as uncharacterized. NCBI's taxonomy places the organism in Eukaryota, Metazoa, Chordata, Aves, Anseriformes, Anatidae. The record is from RefSeq and is a predicted model, not a curated record. The transcript has 8 exons.